UACGGGGGGAGCAAGCGUUGUUCCGAUUUACUGGGCGUAAAGGGCGCGUAGGCGGCCAGCACAAGUCAGUUGUGAAAUCUCCGAGCUUAACUCGGAAAGGUCAACUGAUACUGUGCGGCUAGAGUGCGGAAGGGGCAACUGGAAUUCUUGGUGUAGCGGUGAAAUGCGUAGAUAUCAAGAGGAACACCUGCGGCGAAGGCGGGUUGCUGGGCCGACACUGACGCUGAGGCGCGAAAGCCAGGGGAGCGAACGGG
This 254-nucleotide ribosomal RNA is filed under the name uncultured bacterium. RNAcentral's name for it is "partial 16S ribosomal RNA". It matches the Rfam family "Bacterial small subunit ribosomal RNA", at positions 524 to 776 of the family's 1533-position model. The record is from RNAcentral.